Molecule: ribosomal RNA, 464 nt
Filed under: uncultured bacterium
Lineage: Bacteria
Description: partial 16S ribosomal RNA
Rfam family: Bacterial small subunit ribosomal RNA
Source: RNAcentral
GACGAACGCUGGCGGCGUGCUUAACACAUGCAAGUCGAACGGUAAGGCCCCAGCUUGCUGGGGUACACGAGUGGCGAACGGGUGAGUAACACGUGGGUGACCUGCCCUGAACUUGGGGAUAAGUUCGGGAAACUGGGUCUAAUACCGGAUAGGAGCGCCCGGUGGGGGGUGGGGGGAAGGUUUUUCGGUGUGGGAUGGGCCCGCGGCCUAUCAGCUUGUUGGUGGGGUAAGGGCCUACCAAGGCGGCGACGGGUAGCCGGCCUGAGAGGGUGGACGGCCACAUUGGGACUGAGACACGGCCCAGACUCCUACGGGAGGCAGCAGUGGGGAAUAUUGCACAAUGGGCGGAAGCCUGAUGCAGCGACGCCGCGUGGGGGAUGACGGCCUUCGGGUUGUAAACUCCUUUCACCAUCGACGAAGGUUUUCUGACGGUAGAUGGAGAAGAAGCACCGGCUAACUACGUG